RNAcentral lists this ribosomal RNA (549 nucleotides) under Dendropsophus sp. 2 MJD-2022. RNAcentral's name for it is "partial large subunit ribosomal RNA". It matches the Rfam family "Bacterial large subunit ribosomal RNA", at positions 1857 to 2609 of the family's 2925-position model. The record is from RNAcentral. Lineage: Eukaryota; Metazoa; Chordata; Amphibia; Anura; Hylidae.
GCCUGCCCAGUGACCCUGUUCAACGGCCGCGGUAUCCUAACCGUGCGAAGGUAGCGUAAUCACUUGUUCUUUAAAUGAGGACUAGUAUGAAUGGCAUUACGAAGGUUACACUGUCUCCUUUCUCUAAUCAAUGAAACUAACCUCCCCGUGAAGAGGCGGGGAUUAUAAUAUAAGACGAGAAGACCCUAUGGAGCUUCAAACAACACAGCAUUAGCCUUAUAAUCACACAUUCCAGAAAAAUAAACGUUACCCUGGCUAUAUGACUAUUAGUUUUAGGUUGGGGUGACCGCGGAGUAUAAACUAGCCUCCAUAUUGAAUGGUAGUCUCCUGAGCAAAAAGCUACAACUUUAAGCACCAACAAAUUGACAUUAAUUGACCCAAUAUAUUGAUCAACGAACCAAGUUACCCUAGGGAUAACAGCGCAAUCCACUUCAAGAGCUCAUAUCGACAAGUGGGUUUACGACCUCGAUGUUGGAUCAGGGUGUCCCAGUGGUGCAGCCGCUACUAAAGGUUCGUUUGUUCAACGAUUAAAACCCUACGUGAUCUGAG